Molecule: ribosomal RNA, 128 nt
Filed under: Tursiops truncatus (common bottlenose dolphin)
Lineage: Eukaryota; Metazoa; Chordata; Mammalia; Artiodactyla; Delphinidae
Source: RNAcentral
UAUGGCCAUACCACCCUGAAUGUGCCUGAUCUCCUCUGAUAUAGGAAGCUAAGCAGGGUCGGGCCUGGUUAGUACUUGGAUGGGAGAAAGAAUGCACAGCCCUGUUAGCAAUCAGAGUGUGCACAUGA